GUACACAAAAAUGCACAUAUUGUGAGCUCGAUGAGUAGGGCGGGACACGUGGUAUCCUGUCUGAAUAUGGGGGGACCAUCCUCCAAGGCUAAAUACUCCUGACUGACCGAUAGUGAACCAGUACCGUGAGGGAAAGGCGAAAAGAACCCCGGCGAGGGGAGUGAAAAAGAACCUGAAACCGUGUACGUACAAGCAGUGGGAGCCUCUUUAUGGGGUGACUGCGUACCUUUUGUAUAAUGGGUCAGCGACUUAUAUUCUGUAGCAAGGUUAACCGAAUAGGGGAGCCGAAGGGAAACCGAGUCUUAACUGGGCGUUAAGUUGCAGGGUAUAGACCCGAAACCCGGUGAUCUAGCCAUGGGCAGGUUGAAGGUUGGGUAACACUAACUGGAGGACCGAACCGACUAAUGUUGAAAAAUUAGCGGAUGACUUGUGGCUGGGGGUGAAAGGCCAAUCAAACCGGGAGAUAGCUGGUUCUCCCCGAAAGCUAUUUAGGUAGCGCCUCGUGAAUUCAUCUCCGGGGGUAGAGCACUGUUUCGGCAAGGGGGUCAUCCCGACUUACCAACCCGAUGCAAACUGCGAAUACCGGAGAAUGUUAUCACGGGAGACACACGGCGGGUGCUAACGUCCGUCGUGAAGAGGGAAACAACCCAGACCGCCAGCUAAGGUCCCAAAGUCAUGGUUAAGUGGGAAACGAUGUGGGAAGGCCCAGACAGCCAGGAUGUUGGCUUAGAAGCAGCCAUCAUUUAAAGAAAGCGUAAUAGCUCACUGGUCGAGUCGGCCUGCGCGGAAGAUGUAACGGGGCUAAACCAUGCACCGAAGCUGCGGCAGCGACACUAUGUGUUGUUGGGUAGGGGAGCGUUCUGUAAGCCUGUGAAGGUGGCCUGUGAGGGUUGCUGGAGGUAUCAGAAGUGCGAAUGCUGACAUAAGUAACGAUAAAGCGGGUGAAAAGCCCGCUCGCCGGAAGACCAAGGGUUCCUGUCCAACGUUAAUCGGGGCAGGGUGAGUCGACCCCUAAGGCGAGGCCGAAAGGCGUAGUCGAUGGGAAACAGGUUAAUAUUCCUGUACUUGGUGUUACUGCGAAGGGGGGACGGAGAAGGCUAUGUUGGCCGGGCGACGGUUGUCCCGGUUUAAGCGUGUAGGCUGGUUUUCCAGGCAAAUCCGGAAAACCAAGGCUGAGGCGUGAUGACGAGGCACUACGGUGCUGAAGCGACAAAUGCCCUGCUUCCAGGAAAAGCCUCUAAGCAUCAGGUAACAUCAAAUCGUACCCCAAACCGACACAGGUGGUCAGGUAGAGAAUACCAAGGCGCUUGAGAGAACUCGGGUGAAGGAACUAGGCAAAAUGGUGCCGUAACUUCGGGAGAAGGCACGCUGAUAUGUAGGUGAAGCGACUUGCUCGUGGAGCUGAAAUCAGUCGAAGAUACCAGCUGGCUGCAACUGUUUAUUAAAAACACAGCACUGUGCAAACACGAAAGUGGACGUAUACGGUGUGACGCCUGCCCGGUGCCGGAAGGUUAAUUGAUGGGGUUAGCGGUAACGCGAAGCUCUUGAUCGAAGCCCCGGUAAACGGCGGCCGUAACUAUAACGGUCCUAAGGUAGCGAAAUUCCUUGUCGGGUAAGUUCCGACCUGCACGAAUGGCGUAAUGAUGGCCAGGCUGUCUCCACCCGAGACUCAGUGAAAUUGAACUCGCUGUGAAGAUGCAGUGUACCCGCGGCAAGACGGAAAGACCCCGUGAACCUUUACUA
Molecule: ribosomal RNA, 1743 nt
Filed under: Escherichia coli
Lineage: Bacteria; Pseudomonadati; Pseudomonadota; Gammaproteobacteria; Enterobacterales; Enterobacteriaceae
Description: partial 23S ribosomal RNA
Rfam family: Bacterial large subunit ribosomal RNA
Source: RNAcentral